This 364-nucleotide ribosomal RNA is filed under the name Salmonella enterica. Its description in RNAcentral is "partial 23S ribosomal RNA". It matches the Rfam family "Bacterial large subunit ribosomal RNA", at positions 1 to 392 of the family's 2925-position model. The record is from RNAcentral. RNAcentral also lists the same sequence under 1 other name. Lineage: Bacteria; Pseudomonadati; Pseudomonadota; Gammaproteobacteria; Enterobacterales; Enterobacteriaceae.
GGGUUGUGAGGUUAAGCGACUAAGCGUACACGGUGGAUGCCCUGGCAGUCAGAGGCGAUGAAGGACGUGCUAAUCUGCGAUAAGCGCCGGUAAGGUGAUAUGAACCGUUAUAACCGGCGAUUUCCGAAUGGGGAAACCCAGUGUGACUCGUCACACUAUCAUUAACUGAAUCCAUAGGUUAAUGAGGCGAACCGGGGGAACUGAAACAUCUAAGUACCCCGAGGAAAAGAAAUCAACCGAGAUUCCCCCAGUAGCGGCGAGCGAACGGGGAGGAGCCCAGAGCCUGAAUCAGCAUGUGUGUUAGUGGAAGCGUCUGGAAAGGCGCGCGAUACAGGGUGACAGCCCCGUACACAAAAGCGCAUGU